CUACGGGACGCAGCAGUAAGGAAUAUUGGGCAAUGGACGCAAGUCUGACCCAGCCAUGCCGCGUGAAGGAUGAAGGUCCUCUGGAUUGUAAACUUCUUUUAUCUGGGGCGAAAAACACCUUUUCUAAGGUGCUUGACAGUACCAGAGGAAUAAGCACCGGCUAACUCCGUGCCAGCAGCCGCGGUAAUACGGAGGGUGCAAGCGUUAUCCGGAUUCACUGGGUUUAAAGGGUGCGUAGGCGGGCAGGUAAGUCAGUGGUGAAAUCCCCGAGCUUAACUCGGGAACUGCCGUUGAUACUAUCUGUCUUGAAUACCGUGGAGGUGAGCGGAAUAUGUCAUGUAGCGGUGAAAUGCUUAGAUAUGACAUAGAACACCAAUUGCGAAGGCAGCUCGCUACACGGUCAUUGACGCUGAGGCACGAAAGCGUGGGGAUCAAACAGGAUUAGAUACCCCGGUAGUC
This 459-nucleotide ribosomal RNA is filed under the name uncultured bacterium. RNAcentral's name for it is "partial 16S ribosomal RNA". It matches the Rfam family "Bacterial small subunit ribosomal RNA", at positions 339 to 795 of the family's 1533-position model. The record is from RNAcentral.